GAGUUUGAUCAUGGCUCACAACGAACGCUGGCGGCAGGCUUAACACAUGCAAGUCGAACGCCCUCUUCGGAGGGAGUGGCAGACGGGUGAGUAACGCGUGGGAACCUACCCAGUAGUACGGAAUAACUCAGGGAAACUUGUGCUAAUACCGUAUACGCCCUACGGGGGAAAGAUUUAUCGCUAUUGGAUGGGCCCGCGUUGGAUUAGUUUGUUGGUGAGGUAACGGCUCACCAAGGCUACGAUCCAUAGCUGGUCUGAGAGGAUGAUCAGCCACACUGGGACUGAGACACGGCCCAGACUCCUACGGGAGGCAGCAGUGGGGAAUAUUGGACAAUGGGGGAAACCCUGAUCCAGCCAUGCCGCGUGAGUGAAGAAGGCCCUAGGGUUGUAAAGCUCUUUCGCUAGGGAAGAUAAUGACGGUACCUAGUAAAGAAGCCCCGGCUAACUUCGUGCCAGCAGCCGCGGUAAUACGAAGGGGGCUAGCGUUGUUCGGAAUUACUGGGCGUAAAGCGCACGUAGGCGGAUUGUUUAGUCAGAGGUGAAAUCCCGG
Molecule: ribosomal RNA, 550 nt
Filed under: uncultured Hyphomicrobiaceae bacterium
Lineage: Bacteria; Pseudomonadati; Pseudomonadota; Alphaproteobacteria; Hyphomicrobiales; Hyphomicrobiaceae
Description: bacterial SSU rRNA
Rfam family: Bacterial small subunit ribosomal RNA
Source: RNAcentral